GUAUAUCAAGAGCAAACUGAGAUUUUGAAUGAACAAUAAGGUUUGAGGCGAAAGAAUAUAUUGUUUAAGGUUGAAUUUAUUUGAGAGUGUGAGUAUAGGACACAUGCAUAUAAAAAUAAGACAAGGUUUGGAGGCCAAAAUUAGUUCAAGCUAACCUGAAGUUAAAACUGGAUAAUAUUUCAAAUUGUUAUUGGACUAUGUUCUUGGGUCAUAAAUAUGGUUCGCCGUCUCGGCCAAGUCCGCAAUGACUCAGCCAAGACAUAACCAGGACAGUGGGGAUCGAUAUGAUACCGAUCCCUGAUUCGCAGAUUUAUCUAUAUCCGAGGCGACUCACGAUGACUCAGCUAUAUAGGACAAGUUGUAGUGGUUGCAGUGCUUAUUAUUGAGAAAUCGGCGAGUUGGACUGAGUUGCAUCGAAAAUGGAGAAAAAAAAUUUAUGGCUGUAGAGGGGCAAAAGCUGCAGCUAACAUGGGACCAGAUUGGGAGCUGCCUACCAUUAACUGCAUAAAAAUCAAAAUCGGGGUCUCUUUCAGCAACAAAUCAAAUAAAGCACAGUAAUGAUUCCCUAAUUUGUGGUAGAGUUUGAAGUAUGAACAUAGGAAAAUGAGAAGGAAAAAAUCAUAUGUAUAUAAGAGAGAAACAAGGAGAUGAAGAAAGGAGAGAAGAUUAGUUCUAGUGUAAGAGUUAAUGUGGGUGUAUGUGUGUGUGUGAGAGAGAGAGAGAGAGAGUAAAACUGGCCUUUGUGGUGGUUGGCGGUGGUUAUGGAGAAAACAAAUAGAAGAAGCAAUAGUAAUAGCAUGAGAAGUGACGUUGAGGAAGAAGAAAAGAAAAGAAAGUUAUAAGUUUCCCCUCAAUUUUUUUGAAAUUAUGAACCUGCCCCAGAAGUUCCUUAAACUAUAGUGUAAAGUAGGUAUUUUUUCAUAAUCACUUUUCCCUAGUUUCUAUUUUAUCCUUACUGACUAGAUUCAUCUUAACCUCUAAAUUUUAUCACUUUUCCCUACUUUCAAUUUUAUCCUUACUGACUAGAUUCAUCUUAACCUCUAAAUUUCGUGUUUUAUUUAAUGCUACUUUGUUAAUGACAGUAGGAAUACAAGGUGCUCUUGCUACUAGAAUUACUUACUUUUAAUACUAUAGGUCCAUGGUUACACCAGGGUCACUUUAUUUCUAUAUUAGUGAGUAUAUAUAUAUAUAUAUAUAUGAUAAUGUAGAUAUUCACCAAAUCUAAUUUGAUAAUUGUGCUUGUUAUGGUAUUUUCUAUUUUUAGUAAUUUUUUCACAAAUUUUGGAUACUCUUAUGUGCUAUACUUUGCAUAUCACCCACAAUGGUGAAUCAUGGUCAUAAAUGUUAUAAUUGACUUGACUUAGAUGUAGAUAAAUUUUACUCUGAGCUUGAAAUUCUAAAUCACUGAAAUUCCUGAAGUUAAUAAAGCUUGACCAUAUUUGAGAACUUGGCCUUUAGCUUGAAUAGUAAAUUUAGAAAGACUGAAUUCUAAGGAAAUUUCUUCCUAGAAAAAAGGUUCUUCUGAAAGGUCAUCCACAAAUGAAGUGAUCUUAGUCUUUAGCCUUGAAAUUGGUGGCAGCUUCUAUACUCUCUGUUUCUUUCUGAUUAUUCU
Molecule: long non-coding RNA, 1612 nt
Filed under: Coffea arabica (coffee)
Lineage: Eukaryota; Viridiplantae; Streptophyta; Magnoliopsida; Gentianales; Rubiaceae
Description: long non-coding RNA (CARA_LNC000674)
Source: RNAcentral